RNAcentral lists this ribosomal RNA (1617 nucleotides) under Aulacoseira sp. LPNH1. Its description in RNAcentral is "SSU rRNA". It matches the Rfam family "Eukaryotic small subunit ribosomal RNA", at positions 96 to 1732 of the family's 1831-position model. Lineage: Eukaryota; Bacillariophyta; Melosirophyceae; Melosirales; Aulacoseiraceae. The record is from RNAcentral.
GCUCAUUAUAUCAGUUAUAGUUUAUUUGAUAGUCCCUUACUACUUGGAUAACCAUAGUAAUUCUAGAGCUAAUACAUGUGUCAAGAUAUGACUUUGGGAGGAUUGCAUUUAUUAGGUUGCAAAACCAACCCUCCCUCAGGAGGUUCUUUGGGUGAGUCAUGAUAAGCAUGCAGAACACAGGGCUUCACACUGGCAAUGGAUCAUGUAAGUUCCUGCCCUAUCAGCUUUGGAUGGUAGGGUAUUGGCCUACCAUGGCAUUAACCAGUAACAGGAGAUCAGGGUUUGAUUCUGGAGAGGGAGCCUGAGAGAUGGCUACCACAUCCAAGGAAGGCAGCAGGCACAUAAAUUACCCAAUCCUGACACAGGGAGGUAGUGAUGAUAAAUAACAAUGCUGGGCCUUUCUAGGUCUGGCAAUUGGAAUGAGAAUGAUGCAAACACCCUAUCAAGGAUCAAUUGGAGGGCAAGUCUGGUGCCAGCAGCCACAGUAAUUCCAGCUCCAAUAGCGUAUAUUAAAGUUGUUGCAGUUAAAAAGCUCAUGGUUGAAUUUCUGGCAGAGUUGGCCUGUCCUUCACUUGGUGUUGGCACUUGGUUGGAUCUCUGCCCUCCUUGGCUGGAGCCAGUGUGGCAUUUGGGUGUCAUGCUGGGGAUGGUCAUUGUUUACUGUGAAGAAAUUAGGGUGUUCAAAGCAGGCUUAGGCCUUGAAUACAUUAGCAUGGAAUAAUGAAAUAGGGUUUCAGGCACUAUUUUGUUGGUUUGCACACCAAAACAAUAAUUAAUAGGGACAAGUUGGGGGUAUUUGUAUUCAAUUGUCAGAGGUGAAAUUCUUGGAUUUCUGGAAGACGAAUGACUGUGAAAGCAUUUACCAAGGAUGUUUUCAUUAAUCAAGAAUGAAAGUUAGGGGAUCAGAGAUGAUUAGAUACCAUCAUAGUCUUAACCAUAAACUAUGCUGACUAGGGAUUGGUGGUUGUUCUGUUUUGACUCCAUCAGCACCUUCUGAGAAAUCAAAGUGUUUGGGUUCCAGGGGGAGUAUGGUCACAAGGCUGAAACUUAAAGAAAUUGAUGGAAGGGUACCACCAGGAGUGGAGCCUGUGGCUUAAUUUGACUCAACAUGGGAAAACUUACCAGGUCCAGACAUAGUGAGGAUUGACAGAUUGAGAGCUCUUUCUUGAUUCUAUGGGUGGUGGUGCAUGGCCGUUCUUAGUUGGUGGAGUGAUUUGUCUGGUUAAUUCCUUUAAUGAACAAGACCCCCGCCUGCUAAAUAGUCUGGUGAAUGAGUGUUCAUUGACCUGGUCUUCUUAGAGGGACUUUUGGUGACUAACCGAAGGAAGUUGGGGGCAAUAACAGGUCUGUGAUGCCCUUAGAUGUCCUGGGCUGAAUGCGUGCUACACUGAUGCAUUCAAUGAGUGUAGAACCUUGGCUGAGAGGCCUGGGUAAUCUUGGGAAUGUGCAUCAUGAUAGGGAUUGAAUAUUGCAAUUAUUAUUCAUGAAUGAGGAAUUCCUAGUAAAUGCAGAUCAUCAAUCUGCAUUGAUUAUGUCCCUGCCCUUUGUACACACCACCCAUUGCACCUACUGAUUGAAUGGUCCGGUGCAGCCUCAGGACUGCGGUCGGUUCCUUUA